RNAcentral lists this ribosomal RNA (234 nucleotides) under uncultured bacterium. Its description in RNAcentral is "partial 16S ribosomal RNA". It matches the Rfam family "Bacterial small subunit ribosomal RNA", at positions 29 to 243 of the family's 1533-position model. The record is from RNAcentral.
AACGAACGCUGGCGGCGUGGAUAAGACAUGCAAGUCGAACGAUGACUUAGGGAGUAGCAAUAUUUCCAAGUCGCAGUGGCGAAAGGGUGCGUAACACGUGGGCAAUCUGCCGUGAAGUUGGGAAUAACUCGCCGAAAGGCGAGCUAAUGCCGAAUGUGGCUGCAAUCAGGCAUCUGGAUGCAGCUAAGCUGGGACCGCAAGGCCUCGCGCUAUUGGAUGAGCCUAAGCCGAUUA